This 1540-nucleotide ribosomal RNA is filed under the name metagenome. RNAcentral's name for it is "bacterial LSU rRNA". It matches the Rfam family "Bacterial large subunit ribosomal RNA", at positions 1404 to 2925 of the family's 2925-position model. The record is from RNAcentral.
GAAAAGCGUAGUCGAUGGGAAACAGGUUAAUAUUCCUGUACUUCUGGUUACUGCGAUGGAGGGACGGAGAAGGCUAGGCCAGCUUGGCGUUGGUUGUCCAAGUUUAAGGUGGUAGGCUGAAAUCUUAGGUAAAUCCGGGGUUUCAAGGCCGAGAGCUGAUGACGAGUCGUCUUUUAGAUGACGAAGUGGUUGAUGCCAUGCUUCCAAGAAAAGCUUCUAAGCUUCAGGUAACCAGGAACCGUACCCCAAACCGACACAGGUGGUCGGGUAGAGAAUACCAAGGCGCUUGAGAGAACUCGGGUGAAGGAACUAGGCAAAAUGGCACCGUAACUUCGGGAGAAGGUGCGCCGGCUAGGGUGAAGGAUUUACUCCGUAAGCUCUGGCUGGUCGAAGAUACCAGGCCGCUGCGACUGUUUAUUAAAAACACAGCACUCUGCAAACACGAAAGUGGACGUAUAGGGUGUGACGCCUCCCCGGUGCCGGAAGGUUAAUUGAUGGGGUUAGCGCAAGCGAAGCUCUUGAUCGAAGCCCCGGUAAACGGCGGCCGUAACCAUAACGGUCCUAAGGUAGCGAAAUUCCUUGUCGGGUAAGUUCCGACCUGCACGAAUGGCGUAACGAUGGCGGCGCUGUCUCCACCCGAGACUCAGUGAAAUUGAAAUCGCUGUGAAGAUGCAGUGUAUCCGCGGCUAGACGGAAAGACCCCGUGAACCUUUACUGUAGCUUUGCACUGGACUUUGAGCCUGCUUGUGUAGGAUAGGUGGGAGGCUUUGAAGCGUGGACGCCAGUUCGCGUGGAGCCAUCCUUGAAAUACCACCCUGGCAUGCUUGAGGUUCUAACUCUGGUCCGUAAUCCGGAUCGAGGACAGUGUAUGGUGGGCAGUUUGACUGGGGCGGUCUCCUCCUAAAGAGUAACGGAGGAGUACGAAGGUGCGCUCAGACCGGUCGGAAAUCGGUCGCAGAGUAUAAAGGCAAAAGCGCGCUUGACUGCGAGACAGACACGUCGAGCAGGUACGAAAGUAGGUCUUAGUGAUCCGGUGGUUCUGUAUGGAAGGGCCAUCGCUCAACGGAUAAAAGGUACUCCGGGGAUAACAGGCUGAUACCGCCCAAGAGUUCAUAUCGACGGCGGUGUUUGGCACCUCGAUGUCGGCUCAUCACAUCCUGGGGCUGAAGCCGGUCCCAAGGGUAUGGCUGUUCGCCAUUUAAAGUGGUACGCGAGCUGGGUUUAGAACGUCGUGAGACAGUUCGGUCCCUAUCUGCCGUGGACGUUUGAGAUUUGAGAGGGGCUGCUCCUAGUACGAGAGGACCGGAGUGGACGAACCUCUGGUGUUCCGGUUGUCACGCCAGUGGCAUUGCCGGGUAGCUAUGUUCGGAAAAGAUAACCGCUGAAAGCAUCUAAGCGGGAAACUUGCCUCAAGAUGAGAUCUCACUGGGAACUUGAUUCCCCUGAAGGGCCGUCGAAGACUACGACGUUGAUAGGCUGGGUGUGUAAGCGUUGUGAGGCGUUGAGCUAACCAGUACUAAUUGCCCGUGAGGCUUGACCG